UGCAUUAAGACUCCAGUUUUC
Molecule: non-coding RNA, 21 nt
Filed under: Arabidopsis thaliana (thale cress)
Lineage: Eukaryota; Viridiplantae; Streptophyta; Magnoliopsida; Brassicales; Brassicaceae
Source: RNAcentral